Molecule: ribosomal RNA, 253 nt
Filed under: uncultured bacterium
Lineage: Bacteria
Description: partial 16S ribosomal RNA
Rfam family: Bacterial small subunit ribosomal RNA
Source: RNAcentral
UACGUAGGGGGCAAGCGUUGUCCGGAAUCAUUGGGCGUAAAGAGCGUGUAGGCGGUUCGGUAAGUCGGCUGUGAAAGCCUGGGGCUCAACCCCAGAGGGUCGGCCGAUACUGGCAAGCUAGAGUACGGAAGAGGUAGCUGGAAUUCCCGGUGUAGCGGUGAAAUGCGUAGAUAUCAGGAGGAACACCAAUGGCGAAGGCAGCUCGCUGGGACGUGACUGACGCUGAGACGCGAAAGCGUGGGGAGCAAACAGG